AUCCAAUUGAAGAUUCCAAAACAGGACGAGGCGCGCGUCCUGGAU
Molecule: non-coding RNA, 45 nt
Organism: Schistosoma haematobium
Lineage: Eukaryota; Metazoa; Platyhelminthes; Trematoda; Strigeidida; Schistosomatidae
Source: Rfam